CACGCUCUCUCCUCACCUGAGCUGUCUGCUCUCCCCCCCCUCUCUCUCUCUCUCUCUCUUUCUCUCUUGCCUCCAAGUCACUCUGUCACAUUUUAUUUUUCUUCUUUAUUUUCAUGAAUAUUUACACUUUUUUCUGUGCGUACACUCUUUUUUAUGCAGCACAGAAAGUGAAGAGAAGAAAGAUUUCUCUGUUUUUUGAAGCUUCUUUUUAUUGAGAUUUCUCUGUUUUUUGAAGCUUCUUUUUAUUGAGCUAUUUAGAGCGGAAGAGGGAGUUGUGUAGCGAGAGAGGGAGAGAGAGAGAGAGAGAGGUACAGAAGAGAAUUGCUGUAUGUCAGUAGAUUGUAUAGAGACUUACCUUGGUGGAAUAGGCGAGCUCGCAAACCCACUGCAAUGGCCUCAACUACGCAAAAGACGACGCCUCCUUCUCCGUGUUGCGCCUCUCAAAGUGACUCUGCUACCAUUCGCCGCCAGGCUGCUCCAACGCCUUCGUCCGUGGUGCCGAAUGCGGUGCAAGAUUGGACCGAUCGCCGCCUCGAGGAUCAGCUCGGUGAGAAGGCUGCCAUCGCGGCUUUGAUUCGCCCUGUUGAUUCACUUCCCGAACCUCCCACAAACGCCGCCGCCAAAGCUGGCAUCCCAGUCAUGUUGAGGGCUCAAACCAGCCAUCCCUUGGAUCCUUUAUCUGCUGCUGAAAUCUCUGUGGCAGUGGCAACUGUCCGGGCUGCUGGAGCCACUCCUGAGCUCAGAGAUAGCAUGAGAUUCAUUGAGGUGGUCCUUUUGGAACCGGAUAAACAUGUUGUUGCAUUGGCAGAUGCUUAUUUCUUCCUUCCUUUCCAGCCAUCGUUGCUUCCCAGAACGAAAGGUGGACCUGUAAUUCCUACCAAGUUGCCUCCAAGGAGAGCUAGACUUGUUGUUUACAACAAAAGGUCAAAUGAGACGAGUAUAUGGAUUGUGGAGCUAUCGGAAGUACAUGCAGUGACUCGAGGUGGACAUCAUAGGGGAAAAGCAAUUUUGUCACGAAUUGUUCCGGAUGUUCAGCCGCCAAUGGAUGCUGUUGAAUAUGCUGAGUGUGAAGCUGUUGUAAAAGACUUCCCUCCAUUUAGAGAGGCAAUGAAGAAAAGAGGUAUUGAAGACAUGGAACUUGUAAUGGUUGAUGCCUGGUGUGUUGGUUAUCACAGUGAAGCUGAUGCUCCAAGCAAAAGACUUGCUAAACCUCUUAUAUUCUGUAGAACUGAGAGUGAUUGCCCAAUGGAAAAUGGUUAUGCACGCCCAGUUGAGGGCAUCUAUGUGCUUGUUGACAUGCAGAACAUGAAGGUGAUUGAGUUUGAAGAUCAUAAACUUGUUCCCUUACCCCCAGCAGAUCCAUUAAGGAAUUAUACUCCUGGUGAAACAAGGGGUGGUGUUGAUCGAAGUGAUGUGAAACCUUUACAAAUUGUUCAGCCUGAAGGUCCAAGCUUUCGUGUCAAUGGAUACUUUGUUGAAUGGCAAAAGUGGAAUUUUCGCAUUGGAUUCACUCCCAGAGAGGGUUUGGUUUUACAUUCUGUUGCAUAUGUUGAUGGUAGCAGGGGGCGGAGACCUGUUGCCCAUAGGUUAAGCUUUGUAGAGAUGGUUGUGCCUUAUGGAGAUCCAAAUGAUCCUCAUUAUCGGAAAAAUGCUUUUGAUGCCGGGGAAGAUGGCCUUGGUAAAAAUGCACAUUCUCUUAAAAAGGGGUGUGAUUGUUUGGGCCAUAUCAAAUACUUUGAUGCCCACUUUACAAACUUCACAGGAGGCAUUGAAACAAUUGAAAAUUGUGUAUGCUUGCAUGAAGAGGAUCAUGGAAUUUUAUGGAAGCAUCAAGACUGGAGAACUGGCUUAGCAGAAGUACGAAGGUCUAGACGGCUCACAGUUUCUUUUAUAUGUACAGUUGCUAAUUAUGAGUAUGGAUUCUAUUGGCACUUCUAUCAGGAUGGAAAAAUUGAAGCAGAAGUUAAACUUACAGGAAUCCUCAGCUUGGGAGCAUUGCAACCAGGAGAUAUUCGAAAAUAUGGCACAACCAUUGCUCCUGGUCUAUAUGCACCAGUUCAUCAACAUUUCUUUGUUGCUCGUAUGAACAUGGCCGUAGAUUGCAAACCUGGUGAAGCUUUCAAUCAGGUUGUUGAGGUGAAUGUUAAAGUUGAGAAACCUGGAGAGAACAAUGUCCACAAUAAUGCAUUUUAUGCUGAAGAGACUCUGCUUAGAUCAGAAUUGCAAGCAAUGCGGGACUGUAAUCCUCUAACAGCUCGCCAUUGGAUUGUGAGAAAUACUAGAACUGUCAAUCGGAUGGGACAAUUAGCAGGGUACAAGCUGGUACCUGGUUCAAACUGUUUGCCAUUAGCUGGCCCUGAGGCCAAGGUUUUGAGAAGAGCUGCUUUUUUGAAGCAUAAUCUUUGGGUUACACCUUAUGCAUAUGAUGAGAUGUUUCCUGGAGGAGAGUUCCCUAACCAAAAUCCACGUGUUGGAGAAGGACUUGCUACCUGGGUGAAGCAGAAUCGAUCUUUGGAAGAAACUGAUGUAGUUCUUUGGUAUGUAUUUGGGAUCACACAUGUUCCUCGGUUGGAAGACUGGCCAGUAAUGCCUGUAGAGCGCAUUGGUUUUAUGCUUAUGCCGCAUGGGUUCUUCAACUGCUCUCCUGCUGUGGAUGUCCCACCUAACGCAUGCGAAUUAGAUAACAAAGACGCUGAUGUGAAAGACAAUGGUGUAGCCAAGCCUCUUCAAAGUGUUAUGCUGGCAAAGCUUUGAAUCGCUUCCAAUUAUUAUUUUGACAGUCCCCGUACAAGAACCUCUGGAUUUGAUUCUAUGCUGGAAAGUAGGGUCUCCUCGUUCCUCCAUUUCAGUCUCAGCAUUGGCAACUAAACAAUGAGAAUUUAACCAUCUCCUGCUACUUUGUCAAUGUGCCAUUAUGGUUGUGAUGGAAUUAUCAAUGAUCAAGAAUUGGGCUUGACUUUCUAAUUCCUAUGGAUAGUACAUAAAGUUGGGAAGCUUUAGAAAAGGUUUUACUAAAGUUGAAUGAAAGUAAGGACAUUUUUCUGAAGUGGGACGAGAGACGAUCUUGGUUUUCCAUUUUCCAUGUAUGGAAUUGGAGAGAGCCAUCAGUUGUCGUUUACCAUUGUUGCUUUUUCCACUGCACCAGCUUAUAAAUGAAGAGAAAUUACUAGUUCUAUUGCAUGUGAUUAUUGCUUAUGAGUCACAUCAGAAGUACAGAAACAAUGAACUACAUACAAUGGUGAGGACAAAAACCUUGGUUCCUUGGAGAAACUUGCUUCUUUUCUCUUCUUCUGAAAACAUGUCAUUUUUAUGAGAGUGGGUAACAACCUUGAAGUAUACUGACAUUCUUCGACCCAUAUCAGAGAAAAUAAAUCGUCUUCGUAAUCAUGCAGCAUUUGCAAGCUUUUGUUCAUAGAGCGCAAUCCAGCACCAAUUGCUUCUUGUGCUGUGUAGCUAUAAGCGCAAGUACUGUUGGACUGGAGAGCUGAUAUGAGACUUGACAGUGAGACCCACAAGUGAUUUUUCUUCUAAAGAGAGAAGAAAACAAAAGUUAAGGUAUGGUUUUCUCUCAUCCAUAAAAUGAGAAUUGACUUUUGGCCUCCAGAGAGACGAGAUAGAAAUCUCUGGAGUGGAAGUUUCUUCCUUCGGAUUUUUAUGGGUAAACAAUUAGUCCUUGCAGGGAAACAGUGGUGGGAUAUUUUGUUUUUACUGUGAAAUUGUUGCCUACACGCUAGGUAGGAUGCCUCAUUCUCAGGUGUUGGUGGAGUUCAUUUACUUGUACACAAUGCGUACGAGAGGUGUGUAAUGCAAUCUUUUUAGGCUUGUAGCCUUGUUGGUA
This is an RNA transcript of Hevea brasiliensis (rubber tree), 3838 nucleotides long. It is a transcript of the gene named amine oxidase [copper-containing] zeta, peroxisomal, with no coding region annotated. The transcript has 14 exons. The record is from RefSeq and is a predicted model, not a curated record. Lineage: Eukaryota; Viridiplantae; Streptophyta; Magnoliopsida; Malpighiales; Euphorbiaceae.